Small nuclear RNA from Penaeus indicus, 156 nucleotides. RefSeq annotates it as U1 spliceosomal RNA. The record is from RefSeq and is a predicted model, not a curated record. The transcript has a single exon. Lineage: Eukaryota; Metazoa; Arthropoda; Malacostraca; Decapoda; Penaeidae.
CAGUCUCCCUGACGCAGGAGACACCGUGGUCACGAAGGCUGUUUUCCCAGGGCGAGGCUCACCUGGUGGCGCUGACCCCUGCGAAUAACCCAGGUGUGAUUAACUCGAGUGCGAAAUUCUUGGUAGCGGGGGGGACAGUGUUCGCGCUAUCCCCCU